AGCACUUCCGCCGCUGAUGGACCA
This 24-nucleotide non-coding RNA is filed under the name Arabidopsis thaliana (thale cress). Lineage: Eukaryota; Viridiplantae; Streptophyta; Magnoliopsida; Brassicales; Brassicaceae. The record is from RNAcentral.